RNAcentral lists this ribosomal RNA (424 nucleotides) under unidentified bacterium Par64. Its description in RNAcentral is "SSU rRNA". It matches the Rfam family "Bacterial small subunit ribosomal RNA", at positions 64 to 492 of the family's 1533-position model. Lineage: Bacteria; Bacillati; Bacillota. The record is from RNAcentral.
GAGAUGAUGUGAGGAAGUUUUCGGAUGGAAUCACAUUAUUUUAGCGGCGGACGGGUGAGUAACGCGUGAGCGACCAACCUUACACAGGGGGAUAACGGACCGAAAGGUUCACUAAUACCGCAUGAGACCACGGUGUUGCAUGACACAGAGGUCAAAGGAGAGAUCCGGUGCAAGACGGGCUCGCGUCCGAUUAGGUAGUUGGAGGGGUAGCGGCCCACCAAGCCUAUGAUCGGUAGCCGACCUGAGAGGGUGAUCGGCCACAUUGGAACUGAGAUACGUCCAAACUCCUACGGGAGGCAGCAGUGGGGAAUAUUGGGCAAUGGGGGAAACCCUGACCCAGCAACGCCGCGUGAAGGAAGAAGGUUUUCGGAUUGUAAACUUCUGUCCUUGGUGAAGAGAAGAAGACGGUAGCCAAGGAGAAGCC